GCCCGUGUAACUCAACAGGCAGAGCAGCCGCCUUGUAAGCGACCUGUUGUAGGUUCGAAUCCUGUCGCGAGCU
This 73-nucleotide transfer RNA is filed under the name Alicyclobacillus acidocaldarius subsp. acidocaldarius DSM 446. It matches the Rfam family "tRNA". Rfam says of the family: Transfer RNA (tRNA) molecules are approximately 80 nucleotides in length. Their secondary structure includes four short double-helical elements and three loops (D, anti-codon, and T loops). Lineage: Bacteria; Bacillati; Bacillota; Bacilli; Caryophanales; Alicyclobacillaceae. The record is from Rfam by way of RNAcentral.